Molecule: ribosomal RNA, 333 nt
Filed under: uncultured bacterium
Lineage: Bacteria
Description: bacterial SSU rRNA
Rfam family: Bacterial small subunit ribosomal RNA
Source: RNAcentral
AUUGAACGCUGGCGGCAUGCUUUACACAUGCAAGUCGAGCGGCAGCGCGGGGGCAACCCUGGCGGCGAGCGGCGAACGGGUGAGGAAUACAUCGGAACGUACCCCGGACGUGGGGGAGUAACGCCCGCGAAAGCGGCGCUAAUACCGCAUACGCCCCUGAGGGGGGAAAGGACGGGGGAGUCGUAAGACCUCGCGUUAAUGGAGCGGCCGAUGCCGGAUUAGCUAGUUGGUGAGGUAAAGGCUCACCAAGGCGACGAUCCGUAGCUGGUCUGAGAGGACGACCAGCCACACUGGAACUGAGACACGGUCCAGACUCCUACGGGAGGCAGCAGU